RNAcentral lists this ribosomal RNA (468 nucleotides) under uncultured bacterium. RNAcentral describes it as "partial 16S ribosomal RNA". It matches the Rfam family "Bacterial small subunit ribosomal RNA", at positions 28 to 507 of the family's 1533-position model. The record is from RNAcentral.
GACGAACGCUGGCGGCGUGCUUAACACAUGCAAGUCGAACGGAAAGGCCCUGCUUUUGUGGGGUGCUCGAGUGGCGAACGGGUGAGUAACACGUGAGUAACCUGCCCUUGACUUUGGGAUAACUUCAGGAAACUGGGGCUAAUACCGGAUAGGAGCUCCUGCUGCAUGGUGGGGGUUGGAAAGUUUCGGCGGUUGGGGAUGGACUCGCGGCUUAUCAGCUUGUUGGUGGGGUAGUGGCUUACCAAGGCUUUGACGGGUAGCCGGCCUGAGAGGGUGACCGGCUACAUUGGGACUGAGAUACGGCACAGACUCCUACGGGAGGCAGCGGUGGGGAAUAUUGCACAAUGGGCGGAAGCCUGAUGCAGCAACGCCGCGUGCGGGAUGACGGCCUUCGGGUUGUAAACCGCUUUCGCCUGUGACGAAGCGUGAGUGACGGUAAUGGGUAAAGAAGCACCGGCUAACUACGUG